Molecule: ribosomal RNA, 768 nt
Filed under: Lepraria neglecta
Lineage: Eukaryota; Fungi; Ascomycota; Lecanoromycetes; Lecanorales; Stereocaulaceae
Description: SSU rRNA
Rfam family: Bacterial small subunit ribosomal RNA
Source: RNAcentral
AAUAGCUGAUUGCACCAACAAAUAGUUGAUGCAAUAUUGACUCUGUCAAAUAAAAUUCUAGGUAGAAUUAUGAUAAUGACAUUGUCUGCCUAUAUGUCUUGACCAAAUUACGUGCCAGCAGUCGCGGUAAUACGUAGAAGACUAGUGUUAUUCAUCUUUAAUAGGUUUAAAGGGUACCUAGACGGUAAAUCAAGCCUUCACAGGGACUAAUUUACUAGAGUUACUUACGAGGGGGUAUUAAAGUACUGCAGGUGUAGAGAUGAAAUUCUGUCAUACCUCUUUUCAAAAGAAAAAUUAUGGCACAGGUAUAGGUGAAAGCAUCCCCUUAUGUGAUAACUGACGUUGAAGGACGAAGGCUUUGUGUCGCGAACAGGAUUAGAUACCCCAGUAGUCAAAGCAGAAAAUGAUGAAUGUCAUAGAUUAGAUAAAUAGUUUAUUCUAUAAAUGAAAAUGUAAGCAUUCCACCUCAAGAGUAAUUUGGCAACAUUGGAACUGAAAUCAUUAGACCGUUUCUGAAACCAGUAGUGAAGUAUGUUGUUUAAUUUGAUGAUCCGCAAAAAACCUUACCACAAUUUGAAUAUUUAUAUCUAUCUUUUUUUUUCGUAAAAAAAUAAAAAGGUAAUAUAUUUACAAGCGUUGCACGGCUGUCUUCAGUUAAUGUCGCGAGACUUUGGUUAGUUCCAUUAAAUUAACGUAAACCCUUACUUUAUUUUUAUAUGAAGUAGUUCCCCGCUAUAUUGGAUAUGAUAACAGGGACUAAGACAAGUC